This is a long non-coding RNA of Haemorhous mexicanus (house finch), 429 nucleotides long. RefSeq lists it as uncharacterized. The transcript has 2 exons. The record is from RefSeq and is a predicted model, not a curated record. NCBI's taxonomy places the organism in Eukaryota, Metazoa, Chordata, Aves, Passeriformes, Fringillidae.
AGUUCCUACAGGAAGGUGCAGGGGAUGGAAAUGUUUGGGGUGAGGUCUGGGUCACUUACAGACAAUAAAGGGGUUUGGGGUGGGUUUGGGGCUGGCUUUGGGGUGCUGCCCAGCUCCCCUAUAGAAGGGUGGUGUGUGGAGUCUCACAGUGAAUUUCCCCUCUAAUAGGAUGAGUUUCUCCUCUGCAGGUUGAAUUUCCCCUCUAUAAGGUGCAUUCCCCCCUGCAGGGUGCAUUUCCCCUCUAUAGGAUGUAUCCCCCCUCUAUAAGGUGCAUUUCCCCUCUACAGGGUGAAUUUCCCCCCAAAGCUUCUCUCUCAUCUAUAGGGUGCACCUUUAUCCUCAUCAUUAUUUGCUGUUUAUUACGAUUUCUUAUCCUCUACUCUUCAUUAUUAAUUAUCAUUAUUGGGUUUUAAGAAUUGCUUAUUUCUA